This 772-nucleotide ribosomal RNA is filed under the name uncultured bacterium. RNAcentral's name for it is "bacterial SSU rRNA". It matches the Rfam family "Bacterial small subunit ribosomal RNA", at positions 8 to 796 of the family's 1533-position model. The record is from RNAcentral.
AGAGUUUGAUCAUGGCUCAGGACGAACGCUGGCGGCGCGCCUAAUACAUGCAAGUCGAGCGAGAACCGGGACUUCGGUCCCGGGGAGAGCGGCGAACGGGUGCGUAACACGUGAGCAACCUGCCCCAAAGACCGGGACAACCCGGGGAAACCCGAGCUAAUACCGGAUGUCCUCAUCGGAUCGCAUGGUCUGGUGAGGAAAUGGAUUCCGCUUUGGGAUGGGCUCGCGGUCUAUCAGCUUGUUGGUGGGGUAACGGCUCACCAAGGCGACGACGGAUAGCUGGUCUGAGAGGACGAUCAGCCACACUGGGACUGAGACACGGCCCAGACUCCUACGGGAGGCAGCAGUAGGGAAUCUUGCGCAAUGGGGGAAACCCUGACGCAGCGACGCCGCGUGCGGGAUGAAGGCCUUCGGGUUGUAAACCGCUUUCAGCAGGGACGAAAUUGACGGUACCUGCAGAAGAAGGACCGGCCAACUACGUGCCAGCAGCCGCGGUAAUACGUAGGGUCCUAGCGUUGUCCGGAUUUAUUGGGCGUAAAGAGCUCGUAGGCGGUUCGGCAAGUCGGAUGUGAAAUCGCCACGCUUAACGUGGAGGGGCCAUUCGAAACUGCUGUGACUUGAGUCCGGUAGGGGGGUGUGGAAUUCCCGGUGUAGCGGUGAAAUGCGCAGAUAUCGGGAGGAACACCAGCAGCGAAGGCGGCACCCUGGGCCGGUACUGACGCUGAGGAGCGAAAGCGUGGGGAGCAAACAGGAUUAGAUACCCUAGUAGUCC